RNAcentral lists this transfer RNA (75 nucleotides) under Ictidomys tridecemlineatus (thirteen-lined ground squirrel). Its description in RNAcentral is "Spermophilus tridecemlineatus (thirteen-lined ground squirrel) tRNA". It matches the Rfam family "tRNA". From Rfam's summary of the family: Transfer RNA (tRNA) molecules are approximately 80 nucleotides in length. Lineage: Eukaryota; Metazoa; Chordata; Mammalia; Rodentia; Sciuridae. The record is from Rfam by way of RNAcentral.
UGGGGUAUAGCUCAAUGAUGGUAGAGCACUUGCCUUGAAUGUGCAAGGCCCUGGAUUCAAUCCCCAGCACCACAA